UGGAAGCGUAUACCAAAGUUGUUGCAGUUAAAACGCUCGUAGUCGGAAUUUGGCAGUUCCGGAUGUGUGCACGUCGUGUGCGCACUUCGCGGGGAUUGCUUUUGUGGUCUUGCGUAGGAUGAGGCACUUUUAUUAGUGAACGUCCUCACGCAACCACUUUUUACUGUGAGAAAAUCAGAGUGCUCAAAGCAGGCAUUUGCCGUGAAUGUAUUAGCAUGGAAUAAUAGAAUAGGACUUGGUUCUAUUUUGUUGGUUUGUUGGGACUGAGUAAUGAUUAAGAGGGACAGUUGGGGGCAUUUGUAUUUCGGUGCUAGAGGUGAAAUUCUUAGAUUACCGAAAGACAAACUGCUGCGAAAGCGUCUGCCAAGGAUGUUUUCAUUGA
This 382-nucleotide ribosomal RNA is filed under the name uncultured eukaryote. RNAcentral describes it as "partial 18S ribosomal RNA". It matches the Rfam family "Eukaryotic small subunit ribosomal RNA", at positions 592 to 976 of the family's 1831-position model. The record is from RNAcentral.